This 947-nucleotide ribosomal RNA is filed under the name Myroides sp. Its description in RNAcentral is "bacterial SSU rRNA". It matches the Rfam family "Bacterial small subunit ribosomal RNA", at positions 496 to 1455 of the family's 1533-position model. The record is from RNAcentral. Lineage: Bacteria; Pseudomonadati; Bacteroidota; Flavobacteriia; Flavobacteriales; Flavobacteriaceae.
CCUCACUCCCGUGGCAGCAGCCGCGGUAAGACGGAGGAUCCGAUCGUUAUCCAGAAAUAUUUGGGUUUAAAGGGUUCGUAGGCGGCUUUGUAAGUCAGUGGUGAAAUUUCCUAGCUUAACUAGGACACUGCCAUUGAUACUGCAGAGCUUGAAUAAUAUGGAAGUAACUAGAAUAUGUAGUGUAGCGGUGAAAUGCUUAGAUAUUACAUGGAAUACCAAUUGCGAAGGCAGGUUACUACGUAUUUAUUGACGCUGAUGAACGAAAGCGUGGGGAGCGAACAGGAUUAGAUACCCUGGUAGUCCACGCCGUAAACGAUGGAUACUAGCUGUUCGGUUUUCGGUCUGAGUGGCUAAGCGAAAGUGAUAAGUAUCCCACCUGGGGAGUACGUUCGCAAGAAUGAAACUCAAAGGAAUUGACGGGGGCCCGCACAAGCGGUGGAGCAUGUGGUUUAAUUCGAUGAUACGCGAGGAACCUUACCAGGGCUUAAAUGUAGAUUGACAGAUUUGGAAACAGAUUUUUCUUCGGACAAUUUACAAGGUGCUGCAUGGUUGUCGUCAGCUCGUGCCGUGAGGUGUCAGGUUAAGUCCUAUAACGAGCGCAACCCCUAUUGUUAGUUACCAGCGCGUAGUGGCGGGGACUCUAGCAAGACUGCCGGUGCAAACCGUGAGGAAGGUGGGGAUGACGUCAAAUCAUCACGGCCCUUACGUCCUGGGCUACACACGUGCUACAAUGGCAAGUACAGAAAGCAGCUACCUGGCAACAGGAUGCGAAUCUCCAAAGCUUGUCUCAGUUCGGAUUGGAGUCUGCAACUCGACUCUAUGAAGCUGGAAUCGCUAGUAAUCGGAUAUCAGCCAUGAUCCGGUGAAUACGUUCCCGGGCCUUGUACACACCGCCCGUCAAGCCAUGGAAGCUGGGGGUACCUGAAGUCGGUGACCGCAAGGAGCUG